This 1163-nucleotide long non-coding RNA is filed under the name Eptatretus burgeri (inshore hagfish). RNAcentral's name for it is "lncRNA (ENSEBUG00000017329.1)". The record is from RNAcentral. Lineage: Eukaryota; Metazoa; Chordata; Myxini; Myxiniformes; Myxinidae.
CACUGCCACUCAUUCGUUCCUCUUUUUCCUGCAUGUGGAACCAACUACCACAUUCUCUUAAAGGUCCACAUAAUCAGAAAUUCAUGUUUGAUUUAAUGAUUAGAUAUGGCUUCACUUAACACUUAAUCAUUUAAUUGUUUGUUUGUUUUUCUUGAAUAAAUAUCUUGAAAUGAAGAUUUUAAUGUAUUUUUGGUGACCUUGUACGUUCAGUUGGCCCUGCCCCCCCCCCAAAAAAAACCCCGGCAAUGUGAUGACAUCAUGUUUCACAUGACCUGCCACUUCAUCUCAAAGAUACUUUUGCCAGGGACUUAUGUUUAUGUGCGGUGUACAUAUGUUCUGAACUCUGUGAAAUACUGAGAAUGCCAGCUCGAUGCAUUGUUUCUGGUUAUAGCAAUACAACCAAAAUGGUGUGAAUAUGCCUGUUUUCCCAAAAGAUCCAGCUGGAAGGGAAAUUUUGACAGCCUAAACGAAACUUACCAGAGGAAAAUGGCAUGGCCCAACUGCUUCAAGCAUCAUCCAUAGCAUCCAUUUUGAAGAUAAUUCAUACAUCGGCCUGUGUUCCCAGUUUGGGAUGAGUACAUUGAAGCACAUGAAAGCCGAUGUGAUCUCCACGAAUAUGAGAUAAUUCUAAUCUAAUGGAAAUCAAGAAAAAGGACAGAACAGCUGUGGAAAAGUGCGAGAAACUGAGGGCUGUCAAAUAGGCCGCAAUUACAGAGCGAGGAUGAUUACAAAGCCCGGGUGCCAGCUUGAAAAAAUGACUCACCAAUUAGCUGCCGAGUGACCACAAAUCAACAUUCGAACCCUGAGAGAAGAAUUACAAGAGUAGCCCUGAUCAGUGGGUGAUGGACUGGCAAUGAGAGGGUGUUUUGGAUGUGCACCCAUCAGCAUUCAUGUGUAACACUGGCAGGUCGCUCCUCAAGGGACAGGACAACAUGGACCGGCCAGAUGAGAGCGGCCCAGGCUGCUAUCAUGUGACAAGUUCUGAUUGCCACGGGCCUUUUAACCCACCUGGCCAGGUCUUGGGCGAAGGCAAAAAAGACCCAAUAAGAGUGGUGUCUUUGUCACAGAUGUGGCAAGGAGAGGAGUCGAUCUUCACAAGAGGUCUCAUUGCCAGGGAUCAGAGCGAUGCCUUCAUUGUCUCAGCAGCUUCACAAGGGAAAUGA